This 301-nucleotide ribosomal RNA is filed under the name uncultured bacterium. RNAcentral's name for it is "partial 16S ribosomal RNA". It matches the Rfam family "Bacterial small subunit ribosomal RNA", at positions 509 to 807 of the family's 1533-position model. The record is from RNAcentral.
CAGUCGCCGCGGGAAUACGAAGGGGGCUAGCGUUGUUCGGAAUUACUGGGCGUAAAGCGUACGUAGGCGGAUUGUUAAGUGAGGGGUGAAAUCCCGAGGCUCAACCUCGGAACUGCCUUUCAUACUGGCAAUCUUGAGUCCGGGAGAGGUGAGUGGAACUCCUAGUGUAGAGGUGAAAUUCGUAGAUAUUAGGAAGAACACCAGUGGCGAAGGCGGCUCACUGGCCCGGAACUGACGCUGAGGCACGAAAGCGUGGGGAGCAAACAGGAUUAGAUACCCCCGUAGUCCCUGUCUCUUAUAC